This 203-nucleotide long non-coding RNA is filed under the name Elaeis guineensis (African oil palm). RNAcentral describes it as "long non-coding RNA (EGUI_LNC051421)". Lineage: Eukaryota; Viridiplantae; Streptophyta; Magnoliopsida; Arecales; Arecaceae. The record is from RNAcentral.
CCUCAGAGCGACAUAGGUUAGUUCCAGCACCGCCAACCUUCUUCUCGCCACCUAGGGACUUCUUUUCUGUCAUUAUCUUUUUGCACCCCUCCGAGUUAGCUUCCUGUGACCUCUCAUUCCCCCUUCUGUCUGACUUCUUAGGGUCCUUUAGAGCCCCCACUUCGAAACUACUCGAAAUGUCUUCCGGCUCUUCCGCUCCCUGC